GGGGAAUAUUGGACAAUGGGCGCAAGCCUGAUCCAGCCAUGCCGCGUGGGUGAAGAAGGCCUUCGGGUUGUAAAGCCCUUUUGUUGGGAAAGAAAAGCAGCCGGCCAAUACCCGGUUGUUCUGACGGUACCCAAAGAAUAAGCACCGGCUAACUUCGUGCCAGCAGCCGCGGUAAUACGAAGGGUGCAAGCGUUACUCGGAAUUACUGGGCGUAAAGCGUGCGUAGGUGGUGGUUUAAGUCCGUUGUGAAAGCCCUGGGCUCAAACCUGGGACUGGCAGUGGAACCUGGAUCACAGGAGGGUGGAGGGGGGUAGGGGAAUUCCGGGGGAAGAAGUGAAAGGCGUAGAGACCGGGAGAAACACCAGUGGGGAAGGCGACUGCCGGGGCAACACUGACACUGAGGCACGAAAGCGUGGGGAGCAAACA
RNAcentral lists this ribosomal RNA (426 nucleotides) under uncultured Lysobacteraceae bacterium. Its description in RNAcentral is "bacterial SSU rRNA". It matches the Rfam family "Bacterial small subunit ribosomal RNA", at positions 356 to 774 of the family's 1533-position model. Lineage: Bacteria; Pseudomonadati; Pseudomonadota; Gammaproteobacteria; Lysobacterales; Lysobacteraceae. The record is from RNAcentral.